Acanthosepion pharaonis is the source of this 115-nucleotide non-coding RNA. The record is from the annotation of a GenBank genome assembly. NCBI's taxonomy places the organism in Eukaryota, Metazoa, Mollusca, Cephalopoda, Sepiida, Sepiidae.
UUACGGCCAUAUCACAUAAAAAACACCGGUUCCCGUACGCUCGUCGAAGUUAUGCGAUGUUGAGAUUGGUCAGUGUCUCGAGGGGUGACCACGUGGGAGUACCAGGUGCUGUAAG